Molecule: ribosomal RNA, 253 nt
Filed under: uncultured bacterium
Lineage: Bacteria
Description: partial 16S ribosomal RNA
Rfam family: Bacterial small subunit ribosomal RNA
Source: RNAcentral
UACGUAGGGUGCGAGCGUUAAUCGGAAUUACUGGGCGUAAAGCGUGCGCAGGCGGUUUUGUAAGCCAGAUGUGAAAUCCCCGGGCUUAACCUGGGAAUGGCAUUUGGGACUGCAAGGCUCGAGUGCGGCAGAGGAGACUGGAAUUCCUGGUGUAGCAGUGAAAUGCGUAGAGAUCCGGAAGAACACCGGUGGCGAAGGCGGCCUGCUGGGCAGUGGCUGACACUGAGGCGCGACAGCGUGGGGAGCAAACAGG